AUAACGAUAAUGCGUACAAUACUGAUAAGAAACAAUGUUUAUAAUGUAUUGCGUAUAUCAUUAAAUAGAACCACAGUUACCGCAUAUCAUAUGUUAUAUCAUACAAGUUUUCUUUGCCCACAUUUAUUUGCGGACUCAGUAUUUCUCAAGUUGUGGAAGAAAACCUUAUUCCAUGUGUGAAUUAGGCCAUAUCAUUUGGCCAUAAACUGAGCCAUUUGAAGUUUGAAAUUCAUGUGCAUCUGUCUCAUCGGAGACUGCAGACUCGCUGUCAAAAUAUCAACUUGUCUGAUUCAAAUGCACUCAUGGCUCUUAAAGGGGAUGGGAGCUGGCACUCUCAUUGGUUUAUUGCACGUUACACCCAAACCACACCUACGGGUAAUUAGGCUAAUUCAGACCAACCCUUUUUAGAUAUGCGCUGGGCGCAAGAGUAAUUUUACACGCCGGUAAAAUAGCGACAUCGCCAUAGAUCCGCCCACAAAGCUACUUGCGCUUGGCGCUUCUCACUUGUGUUUCAGACCGUUAAAAUAGGGCCCUUUAUGUUUAAAGUAUAGACCGUCGCGAUUCCCAUUGAAACGAAUGGCCCGUUGAUUAUUCUUCAAAACGAGCUCUGGUAAAUUGUGAAAAAUGAAUUUAACUGUAAUCAGACAACGCAGUUAUAUGCUAUAGACCAGUGAGUAUCUGUGGUAUAAAGGCUUGGACGAAUUUCAAAUUAUAAAUAUGUAAACUUUAUGUUGAAAGUAUGGACCGUCGUGAUUCCCAUUGAAACAAUGUCGUGGUGAUUCUUUUAUUUUUGUUGGUUUUCGUUUACAGAUUUUUCCUAAACGGUUAUGAUUUUCUACCGGUUACACAUGUACCCGUGCACACCCCUACUAUGAACCAACAU
Molecule: long non-coding RNA, 883 nt
Organism: Gadus macrocephalus (Pacific cod)
Lineage: Eukaryota; Metazoa; Chordata; Actinopteri; Gadiformes; Gadidae
Exons: 2
Source: RefSeq, a predicted model, not a curated record